UCGGGAAUUUUGGGCAAUGGGCGAAAGCCUGACCCAGCAACGCCGCGUGAAGGAUGAAGUAUUUCGGUAUGUAAACUUCGAAAGAAUAGGAAGAAUAAAUGACGGUACUAUUUAUAAGGUCCGGCUAACUACGUGCCAGCAGCCGCGGUAAUACGUAGGGACCAAGCGUUGUUCGGAUUUACUGGGCGUAAAGGGCGCGUAGGCGGCAAUUCAAGUCAUCUGUGAAAUCUCCGGGCUUAACUCGGAACGGUCAGAUGAUACUGCUUUGCUAGAGUGCAGAAGGGGCAAUCGGAAUUCUUGGUGUAGCGGUGAAAUGCGUAGAUAUCGGAAGGAACAUCGGUGGCGAAGGCGUCUACCUGGCCUAAUACUGACACUGAGGCACGAAAGCGUGGGGAGCAAACAGGAUUAGAUACCCCAGUAGUCCCUGAGCGGGCUGGCAAGGCGCAU
This 447-nucleotide ribosomal RNA is filed under the name uncultured bacterium. RNAcentral's name for it is "bacterial SSU rRNA". It matches the Rfam family "Bacterial small subunit ribosomal RNA", at positions 355 to 825 of the family's 1533-position model. The record is from RNAcentral.